CUCUUGUCGCUAAAAAUUCUAGAGCACUAAGACCUGACAGCCCCAUAAAAGGGGGGCCAUGACCCUACCCUGUGCUUACUGCUACGGGCCCAGUUAACCACCUUCCCAUCUAGUCGGGAGGUUUCUCCAAGCAAGAUACACAAGAACUGAUGUGAAGCUGGUGAGGGGGAAGCAUGGACCCAGGGAGGAGCUGGUCUAAUCCCAGGGGACAAGCCACCUCCUCCUGGCACACACAGCCACUGAUGCCACGGAUGUCAGGAAAAAACUUCAAAAUAGUGCCAUGGCCUCUGCAUUAAAUGGCACAAGAUUACCCCGGACCCAAGUUUCCAGGCUGAGAGUCAUCAGCCAGGUCCAAAUCAGAGAUAAAAGAAUCGGAG
This is a non-coding RNA of Heterocephalus glaber (naked mole-rat), 377 nucleotides long. NCBI's taxonomy places the organism in Eukaryota, Metazoa, Chordata, Mammalia, Rodentia, Bathyergidae. The record is from RefSeq and is a predicted model, not a curated record.